AGAGUUUGAUCAUGGCUCAGGAUGAACGCUGGCGGCGUGCCUAAUACAUGCAAGUCGAACGGGGAGUAUUAAUUUCGAUUUUUACUCCUAGUGGCGAACGGGUGAGUAACGCGUUGGUGACCUGCCCCGAAGCGGGGGAUAACAGUUCGAAAGGACUGCUAAUACCCCAUGUGGUCGUACAGGUUAGAGACUGAACGACUAAAGGAGCAAUCCACUUCGGGAGGGGCCUGCGUCCCAUCAGCUAGUUGGUAAGGUAACGGCCUACCAAGGCGAUGACGGGUAGGGGACCUGAGAGGGUGGUCCCCCACACUGGCACUGAAACACGGGCCAGACACCUACGGGUGGCAGCAGUAGGGAAUAUUGCACAAUGGGCGAAAGCCUGAUGCAGCAACGCCGCGUGCGCGAAGAAGGCCUUCGGGUUGUAAAGCGCUUUUCUGGAGGAAGAGAAAGGACGGUACUCCAGGAAUAAGGAUCGGCUAACUACGUGCCAGCAGCCGCGGUAACACGUAGGAUCCGAGCGUUAUCCGAAUUUACUGGGCGUAAAGCGCGUGUAGGCGGCCGGGUAAGUUGGACGUGAAAGCUCCUGGCUCAACCAGGAGAGGUCGUCAAAACUGCCUGGCUAGAGGGCGACAGAGGGAGGUGGAAUUCCCGGUGUAGUGGUGAAAUGCGUAGAUAUCGGGAGGAACACCAGUGGCGAAGGCGGCCUCCUGGGUCGCUCCUGACGCUCAGACGCGAAAGCUAGGGGAGCAAACGGGAUUAGAUACCCCGGUAGUCCUAGCUGUAAACGAUGUGGACUUGGCGUUGGUGGUGUCAAAGCCAUCAGUGCCGUAGCUAACGCGAUAAGUCCACCGCCUGGGGACUACGGCCGCAAGGUUAAAACUCAAAGGAAUUGACGGG
Molecule: ribosomal RNA, 897 nt
Filed under: uncultured bacterium
Lineage: Bacteria
Description: bacterial SSU rRNA
Rfam family: Bacterial small subunit ribosomal RNA
Source: RNAcentral